GCCUGGGUGGCUCAGUGGGUUAAGCAUCUGACUUCAGCUCAGGUCAUGAUCUCACAGUCUGCGAGUUCAAGCCCUGCAUCAGGCU
This 85-nucleotide transfer RNA is filed under the name Felis catus (domestic cat). It matches the Rfam family "tRNA". Rfam says of the family: Transfer RNA (tRNA) molecules are approximately 80 nucleotides in length. Their secondary structure includes four short double-helical elements and three loops (D, anti-codon, and T loops). The record is from Rfam by way of RNAcentral. Lineage: Eukaryota; Metazoa; Chordata; Mammalia; Carnivora; Felidae.